This 439-nucleotide ribosomal RNA is filed under the name uncultured bacterium. RNAcentral describes it as "partial 16S ribosomal RNA". It matches the Rfam family "Bacterial small subunit ribosomal RNA", at positions 338 to 795 of the family's 1533-position model. The record is from RNAcentral.
CCUACGGGGGGCAGCAGUGGGGGAUAUUGCACAAUGGAGGAAACUCUGAUGCAGCAACGCCGCGUGAGGGAAGACGGUCUUCGGAUUGUAAACCUCUGUCUUUGGUGAAGAAAAUGACGGUACCCAAAGAGGAAGCUCCGGCUAACUACGUACCAGAAGCCGCGGUAAUACGUAGGGAGCGAGCGUUGUCCGGAAUUACUGGGUGAAACGGGAGCGUAGGCGGGCGGGAAAGUUGAUGGUUAACUCUCCCGGCUUAACUGGUAGCUGCGUUCAAAACUUCUUGUCUUGAGUGAAGUAGAGGCAGGUGGAAUUCCUAGUGUAGCGGUGAAAUGCGUAGAUAUUAGGAGGAACACCAGUGGCGAAGGCGGCCUGCUGGUCUUUAACUGACGCUGAGGCUCGAAAGCGUGGGGAGCAAACAGGAUUAGAUACCCCUGUAGUC